GAUUAACGCUGGCGGCGUGCAUAACACAUGCAAGUCGAACGAUGAAACUUAGUAGACUUCUUCGGAAAGACACUAAGCGGCUUAGUGGCGAACGGGUGAGUAACGCGUGAGUAACCUGCCUUACACAAGGGGAUAGCCUUUGGAAACGAAGAAUAAUACCCUAUAAAACCAUAAAAGCACAUGCUAGAAUGGUCAAAGUGAUAGCGGUGUAAGAUGGACUUGCGUCUGAUUAGCUAGUUGGUGAGAUAAAAGCUCACCAAGGCAACGAUCAGUAGCCGGCUUGAGAGAGUGGACGGGCACAUUGGGACUGAGACACGGCCCAGACUCCUACGGGAGGCAGCAGUGGGGAAGUUUGCACAAUGGGGGAAACCCUGAUGCAGCGACGCCGCGUGAUUUAGAAGGCCUUCGGGUUGUAAAAAUCUUUUGUAUAGGAAGAAAAUGACAGUACUAUACGAAUAAGGUCCGGCUAAUUACGUG
Molecule: ribosomal RNA, 477 nt
Filed under: uncultured bacterium
Lineage: Bacteria
Description: partial 16S ribosomal RNA
Rfam family: Bacterial small subunit ribosomal RNA
Source: RNAcentral